Molecule: long non-coding RNA, 859 nt
Organism: Diabrotica virgifera virgifera (western corn rootworm)
Lineage: Eukaryota; Metazoa; Arthropoda; Insecta; Coleoptera; Chrysomelidae
Exons: 3
Source: RefSeq, a predicted model, not a curated record
UUUCCCAAGUUCAAUUAAUACAAUAUUAUAAACAUACAAAUGUAAUAAAAAUUAUUGUUCGCGAAUAUUCAAUUUGGAAUGCGAUUUUGUUAAUAAAAAAAAUACUUAUAACUUAUGCAAAACCCAAGAGAGGCAUUUAUAUUUAUUUCUUUUGCGUUCAUUUUCAAAUUCGCCGUGCAUAUAUUUUUGUGCAUGGCGCUUGAGAGGGCAUCACGUGACUAAAAACGACCAACCAACGACCUCGCUUCGGCCAUCUUGGCAUCUUCAUCUUGGCCACCUUGCUUUGCCGUGGGUGGAUCGUUGUUUCUAUUAUUUGUGCUUUUUAAGAAUAUUUUUUUAAUUCGGAUACUUUUAUAAUAGCUUUAAUAGUAUUAUUAACAUAGUGAAUAAAAUGGUGUCCUGUUUUUAACGCAGUUGGAGUAGCAGAAACAAAUGUAGAUAAAAAAAUCUGCAGGAAUAACGUUUCAAUUAUGACAGAAGCUCCAAACAAAUGACUGUGAAUGAAAAGCCCUAUUAAAAGCUUUCCAGAAGAUCCUGCGAAGAAGACAUGAAGUAUAGAUCAGAUUUGUUAAUAGAGGAGUAUGUUCAAAACACUUUUUAGAAAAAGAUAUUGACAGAACUUCACUUUCAUCUGUUCGUUUAAGAGACUGUGCUGUUCCAAUAGCUUAUGUCACACAGAAUCAGCUGAGAGAAGUGGUCUACAAAAAACCAGAAAGGAAACAGAAUAUGUGGCUACGAAAAGCAAAAGAAAGGUUUACAAAGCAAAUGUGACACAUUUUUUUAUAAUAUUUAGGAAUGUCAGUAAAUUACAUUAAAAAAUGUAUGUAAAGAUUUUUUGCAAUAAAAAUGUUUAUAUUUA